Molecule: non-coding RNA, 1246 nt
Organism: Penaeus vannamei (Pacific white shrimp)
Lineage: Eukaryota; Metazoa; Arthropoda; Malacostraca; Decapoda; Penaeidae
Source: RefSeq, a predicted model, not a curated record
CGACAACAUCACACCCUCCACUACCAUUACAAUAUCACCAAAUGGGGCUUCUACUGUUACUAUCAAUACUCCCUCUGUCAAUAAUAAUAUAAACAAUAAUAAUGUGAGCAAUACCCCAUGCAAUAAUGAGACACUUGAAGAGGAGGAAGAGGAGUGUCCCACACCACCCCUUCGCUCGUCCCAUCCAGUUCCACCAUUAAGAGGGGCAGUACGACGACAGCUGCCUUGGAGCCAGAGUGUGGAGUUAGUUGAGACUCCUGUUGAUGAUGAAGAGGAAGAUGAUGACAUACAUGCUCAUGCAAGAACACGCCGGGCUCACUCUUACAAUGACUAUGAGAACUAUUUUUAUAUUUAGUCUUUCUUUUAGUCACAAUGGAAACUGAAGUUAAUUCUUUUAUAGUCAAAAGUAGAGAAGUUACAGAAACAGCCAUAAUUUUGCUACUAUAUAUUCUUGUUAUGGAAGUUGACUGAAUCAAACUCAUUUGAAAUUUUAAUGGAUGUGUGAUGAAAGGUCUGAGUGAUUUAUUUAAUGCCCGAUAUCAGUUGCCUUGCAGUAACAUUUUUAUUUCUACACGUCAGUUAGGAUAAACAGAUAUGAAUUCAUUUGUAUUUUAUUUAGCUGUGAGCUUUGUUGUAUAUACUGUCAGGCACAUUUUGGAAUGUUUAUAUUUGUAAAUAAGUUUUCUUUUUGUUUUCUAAAAGACGUUAUAAUACACUGAAUUAUUCAUGUCCAUCAUGAAUUGUGACAAUGUUAAAAAAUGGUAUUAAUGCAAGGGAUCUAGCAGUCUUACAUUUUUCGUGGCUAACAUUAAAUUGAAUUGUCUGUUAUGGUAUUGGUUUGUAGAAUGCAUAAUGUAUCAGGCCCAAUAUUGAGGAGUCUGUUUUGGUUAUUAUAUUCACUUAACAGAUAAGAUAAAUACUUGCACAUCAGACGAGCAAUAUGGCUGCUCUGAACUGAACUGCUAAAUAUCUCAUUUUAGUCCUAAAUAUGCUUUCUGAGUCAAGUUAAUGGCAUGAUCGAUUGCCCAGUGACUGUAAAGGGUUUUUCUUCCCAAUACAAGUAUAAACAAAUCUGGAAGUACCCUAUAAAACCUAUAUUAUUUCUGAAUUAUUACUUUCAGGGGCAGAUGUUUGUCUCGUAUUCAGUAGAGCUUUAAGUUGUAUAUAACUGUAUAUGUGUACCUAUUGUAAAAUAUGUAUUGCCAAAGAUUGUUAAGUUUAAUUUGAAAUAUAUUUCAACCCAAGA